This is a long non-coding RNA of Astatotilapia calliptera (eastern happy), 738 nucleotides long. Lineage: Eukaryota; Metazoa; Chordata; Actinopteri; Cichliformes; Cichlidae. The record is from Ensembl.
AUGUAUUAUCAUUUCUAUUAUUAGCAGUCUGUACAGUUAUUUAUAAAUGGAUGCAGAUGAUCAAAGCUGAUUGGCUUCCCAGUGACACUGUCAGGGUCCCUGUGCCUACCCGGUCGGCUCAGUAUGGCUACAUAUGUUUUUAUUUUCUUUUUUGUUCCUGCUCUCUCCCUUCCCCUCUUUUCCUCCUCCCUCUGCCUGGGCGGAGCUCACCUGUGGGCUCCUGCCCUUGGCCCACGCACCUGGUCGCGAUCACGCACCUGUGGCUCAUCACGAGAGUGUUCCAGCUCCUUUAUAAGAUGGCAGCUCUGCGUUUCUCGUUGCUGGAUCGUUGCCGACCCUCAGUAUUCCCUGGACCAACCCCUGUGUUACCUGAGUGAUUGGAGUAUGAAGAGGCGCGUGAGGGGUGGACGGAAUGAGUGUGUGACUUUCGGCGUCUUUCCCAUUCGUGUGUGGACCCCCGGAGCCCGGCUUUCCCCUCACCUUUGUAAAUAGAUCACCUGGUGUAUUGUAAUAAAGACUCUUGUGCUUUCAAGACCUAGAGCCUGCACGUGAGUCCGUUCAGUCCCGUUGUGACAGACUCCUGUUUCACUGUGUUUAAGUAACAAGCCGGUACACUCAGACUGCUUAUGAACACCUGUUCUGAAGGCAAAACGAGGUCAAACCCUGAACAAGCAAGGAAACUGGCAGCAGGUGGAUGCUGCUGCUGCUGCUGCUGCCUCUGAUGAUGUCAAUGACGCG